AACGCACAUUGCGCCCGCUAGUAUUCUGGCGGGCAUGCCUGUUCGAGCGUCAUUUCAACCCUCAAGCCCCCGGGCUUGGUGUUGGGGAACGGCCCGCCCCUAGCGGCAGGCCGGCCCCGAAAUCUAGUGGCGGUCUCGCGAUAGCCUCCUCUGCGUAGUAGCAAUAUCUCGCACUGGUGCUGAGCGACGACCACGCCGUUAAACCCCCCACUUUCUGAAGGUUGACCUCGGAUCAGGUAGGAAUACCCGCUGAACUUAA
Molecule: unclassified non-coding RNA, 259 nt
Filed under: Xylodon sp.
Lineage: Eukaryota; Fungi; Basidiomycota; Agaricomycetes; Hymenochaetales; Schizoporaceae
Also listed under: 1 other name
Description: partial contains 5.8S ribosomal RNA, internal transcribed spacer 2, and large subunit ribosomal RNA
Source: RNAcentral